GGUCGUGUGGUGUAGUGGUAUUAUCAUGUUUCCUUUACACGGAAAAGGUCGCAGGUUCGAACCCUGCCACGAUCA
Molecule: non-coding RNA, 75 nt
Organism: Fusarium proliferatum ET1
Lineage: Eukaryota; Fungi; Ascomycota; Sordariomycetes; Hypocreales; Nectriaceae
Source: the annotation of a RefSeq genome assembly